UCUCUUUCAUAUCCUGACGAACUUGCCUAUAUAGGUACUGCCGACUUGUCGGCUAUGGCGAUAAGCGAUGCGUGGAAUAAUCGUUGUGGACCCGGGGGCGGUACCCGGCGCCUCCACCAAUUUUCCGGGAAACCGGGAAUAUUUGGGGGCGAAACAGUCUCGACACGCGUGGUAAAGACCCAUCUUUUGCUCGGCAUUGUACCGCCGUUAUCGGGCUAUAACUUAAAUGCGAACGAUAACAACGUAGCAUUCGCGGUCGCUGCCUAAACAGCAGCUAAGCG
Molecule: transfer-messenger RNA, 281 nt
Filed under: Acidocella sp. 20-61-6
Lineage: Bacteria; Pseudomonadati; Pseudomonadota; Alphaproteobacteria; Acetobacterales; Acidocellaceae
Description: partial transfer-messenger RNA
Rfam family: Alphaproteobacteria transfer-messenger RNA
About the family: Bacterial tmRNA, also known as 10Sa RNA or SsrA, is named for its dual tRNA and mRNA-like properties.
Source: RNAcentral